This 335-nucleotide unclassified non-coding RNA is filed under the name soil metagenome. RNAcentral describes it as "partial contains 5.8S ribosomal RNA, internal transcribed spacer 2, and large subunit ribosomal RNA". The stretch from base 1 to 120 matches the Rfam family "5.8S ribosomal RNA", at positions 35 to 154 of the family's 154-position model. The record is from RNAcentral.
GAUGAAGAACGGAGCGAAAUGCGAUAAGUAAUGUGAAUUGCAGAAUUCAGUGAAUCAUCGAAUCUUUGAACGCACAUUGCGCCCGCCAGUAUUCUGGCGGGCAUGCCUGUUCGAGCGUCAUUUCAACCAUCAAGCCCCCGGCGUGUGUUGGGGACCUGCGGCUGCCGCAGGCCCUGAAAACCAGUGGCGGGCUCGCUAGUCACUCCGAGCGUAGUAAUACAUCUCGCUCAGGGCGUGCUGCGGGUUCCGGCCGUUAAAAAGCCUUAUUUACCCAAGGUUGACCUCGGAUCAGGUAGGAAGACCCGCUGAACUUAAGCAUAUCAAUAAGCGGAGGA